GCUCUUGUAGCCCAACUGGAAGAGGCUGCCGUCUCAAAAACGGUAUGUUGUGGGUUCGAUUCCCACCAAGAGUACCA
RNAcentral lists this transfer RNA (77 nucleotides) under Nostoc sp. RNAcentral describes it as "tRNA-Leu". It matches the Rfam family "tRNA". Rfam says of the family: Transfer RNA (tRNA) molecules are approximately 80 nucleotides in length. The record is from RNAcentral. Lineage: Bacteria; Bacillati; Cyanobacteriota; Cyanophyceae; Nostocales; Nostocaceae. RNAcentral also lists the same sequence under 11 other names.